CAGCACCUCAAGUGGUCAGGAUGAUUAUUGGGCCUAAAGCAUCCGUAGCCGGCGCUGUAAGUUUUCGGUUAAAUCUGUACGCUCAACGUAUGGGCUGCCGGGAAUACUGCAAAGCUAGGGAGUGGGAGAGGUAGACGGUACUCGGUAGGAAGGGGUAAAAUCCUUUGAUCUAUUGAUGACCACCUGUGGCGAAGGCGGUCUACCAGAACACGUCCGACGGUGAGGGAUGAAAGCUGGGGGAGCAAACCGGAUUAGAUACCCGCGUAGUCC
Molecule: ribosomal RNA, 270 nt
Filed under: uncultured archaeon
Lineage: Archaea
Description: partial 16S ribosomal RNA
Rfam family: Archaeal small subunit ribosomal RNA
Source: RNAcentral